This 7363-nucleotide long non-coding RNA is filed under the name Nicotiana tabacum (common tobacco). Its description in RNAcentral is "long non-coding RNA (NTAB_LNC001818)". The record is from RNAcentral. Lineage: Eukaryota; Viridiplantae; Streptophyta; Magnoliopsida; Solanales; Solanaceae.
GCGAAGUUAGUGUAAAGGGGAGGAAAGAGGGGAAGGAAAAAAAGAAAGAUAAAGUGAUGGAGAAAGCCAAGAGUGCCAAUUUUGCCGGGUUACUACUGGAGGACUCAAGUACAGAAUCUGAGAAUGAUAACAUCUCUCCUAAGUAUGAUUCAGAUGACAUGUGCAGUAUUAAUAGCGAUGAUGAUGAAAAGGUUAGAAAGGUUGAAAAUGUUGCAUUUAGGGCAGAAACAGACAUGGAUAAUUUAACAUUUAGGUUGGGAAAGACAUUCAUUGAUGCAAUAGAAUUUAGAGCUGCACUGAGAGCUUAUUCUAUUAAAAAUAACAAGAAAAUUUCCUUCAAAAAGAAUGAAUCUGAUAAAAUUUCUGCAAAAUGUUGUGAUCAAUGUCCACGGCGCAUAUAUGCAUCUAAAAAGGCACCAGAUGACCCCACAAUCACGAUAAAAACUUUAGUUGGGAAACAUUCUGAUGAUUGUUUGUUUGUUUAUGUCAACAAAAAUGUGAAAUCUCGAAUGAUUGCCAAAUAUUUCCUGCAUUAUUUGAGAAUACAUCCAGAUGUAUCAGUAGGAGAUUUCAUGGACAAAAUACAUGAAGAGAUGAAUGUUGAAGUUUCAGUGAGCAAAGUGUAUAGAUGUGAUGACCCAAAAGGUCAUCUUAUGUUUUAAAACUCGAAUCUGCGCUCUUAAGCCUUAAAAAUCUCAUUUUUUUUCCCUCCUCGAUUUGUGUGCACAGUUCGGACAGGUUUCCGAAAAGCUUUUAUGUUGAAAAUUGAUGAAAAUAAGAAUUUAUGCCUUAAAAGUUAAUUUUAGUUUACUUCGGUCAAUAUUUUUAGUAAACGGGCCCGGAUCCGUAUUUUGAUGAUCCCGGUGGGUCCGUAUCAAAUUAUGGGACCUGGACGUAUGCCCGGAAUCGAAUUUGGAGGUCCCUAUCUCAAGUUAUGAAUUUUUGAUGAAAAUUAAAAAUCUGAAAAAUUAAUUAUUUUUAAGAAUUGAUUGAUGUUGGGCAUUGUUAGUGCCGGGUCCGUAUUCUGGUUCCGGAGCCCGGUACAGGUUUAUUAUGAUAUUUAAGACUUGUCUGUGAAAUUUGGUGAGAAACGGAGUUGAUUUGACGUGAUUCGAACGUCCAGUUGAGAAAAUAGAAAUUUUAAAGUGUUCUUGAAAAUUUCAUUUGAUUUGGUGCUAAAUUCGUAGUUCUAGGUGUUAUUUUGGCGAUUUGAUCGCGCGAGCAAGUUCGUAUGAUAUUUUUAGACUUGUGGACAUGUUUGGUUUGGAGCACCGAGAGCUCGGGGUGAGUUUCGGAUAGGCCACGGGAUAUUUUGGACUUUGGAAAUCUGGUAUUUUGCUGCAGCAAGUGUUCUGGCAUGUCCUUCUUCGCGUUCACGAAGGUACUCUCGCGAACGCGAAGAGUAAACUGGGCAGCUGAAGGUUUCUUCUUCGCGAACGCGAAGCGAUGAGGGCGUUACCCUUCGCGAACGCGACAAGCCCAUCGCGAACGCGUAGUGUUAGGCAUUGGGGAUGGGGAGUCAGCCGUUCCUUCAUCGCGAACGCGAAGGCCAGGGGGGAGUAACCAUCGCGAACACGAGCUGGGUCUCGCGAACGCGUAGACUUGGCAGCCAGUACCCUUCGCGAACGCGAUGAAUACUGUCGCCCAGCACUUAACAGAAUCCAAAAACGGAAUUUUAGCCAAAAACUCAUUUUUCUCAAAAAACAAGCGGUGAGAGGCAGUUUUUCAAGAGCUAUUUCUUCCCUAAAUUGUUGAUAAGUGAUUCUAAACCAUUUUCUUUCAAUUACCCAUUACAUUUUNNNNNNNNNNNNNNNNNNNNNNNNNGAGGUCGGAUUCCAAAACCAAUUAUAUAUUCGGGAUCGGGGAUGAAUGGGUAAGUAGAUUUUGGUCCGAACCUCGGGUUUUGAUCAAGCGGGUCCGGGGUCGAUUUUUCGACUUUUUGGAGAAAAAUUUAGGAAAUUUAAUUUAUGCAAUAUAAUUGACUCCUUUAGCAAUAUUUGAUAUUAUUGAGUUAUUUUUGAAUAGAUACGAGUGGUUUGGAGAUGAAUUCUAAAGGAAAAGCUGUGAUUGAGAAUUAAGUGGCCUUCAGAGCGAUGUAAGUGUUGUUUCUAACCCUGACUUGAGGGAAUUAGGAACCUUAGAUUACUUGCUAAGUGAAAUCCAUGUGAGCAACGUAUAUGUGAGGUGACAAGUACUUAUGUGCCGCCAAUUUACCUGUUUUCCAUGUUUCUCUGUUUUCCUUAUAUUGUCUCUUUCCUAUGCCAAAUUGCUAUGUGUUAUAUUAGUGUUGUUCAAUUUAUCGUUCUUAUCAUGUUUACGAAUUUUCUGGUGAUAAUUGAGUGUUUAUUUCAAAGUUGAGAUUGAUAUUAUGGAACCAAAUGUUGAAGUAAUGUUUGUACUUAUUAAUCUAUCUCUCUGUUGUUAUUUAUGCAUUGCAUUAUGGUAAGGGAGAGUGUUAAUACACGAAGGGUGAUGCCAUGCCAUAUUGUGAGUGUUAAUGCACGAAGGGUGAUGUCGUGCUAUGAUAUGAAAGUUAAUGCACGAAGGGUGAUGCCGUGCCGUUUCUAUUAAUUUUAGGUGAGAUUGAGAGUAAAAGCACAAAGGGUGAUGCCGUAUAUUUUUCAUGGUAUAUUGACUGCUCCGAUGAUCAUUCUAUUGUAGUUCUUUAUCUUGUAUUCCCCUACGUAUGUUCCCCUCCCGACAUUUUCUGUUUAGUUCUUCAUCUCUGUUAUUUAUAUAUACACUAUUAAAUUGUACAGGUUGAUUUGUAGGUGCCUUGCCUUAGCCUCGUCACUACUUCGUCGAGGUUAGGAUCGACACUUACCAGUAUAUGGGAUCGGUUGUACUGAUACUACACUCUGCACUUUCUGUGCAGAUUUUGAUAUCGGCUCGGGUUGAUCGAGAUUUUGCUAUUGGUCCGCUGUCCGGAGACUCAAUGUAGAUCUGUCGGUGUUCACAGACCUUGAAGUCCCCGUCUAUCUUUUCUGUUCUACUGUUUCUUUCAUUCAGACAUUUGUAUUUCUUUCUGACUAUUAGUUGUAGCAAAUUCUAGAAUGCUCGUGAAUUGUGACUCAAGAUCCGGGGUAGUAAUUAAUACAGUUUUAUAAUAUUCCGUACUUAUUAUAUUUCAUCUUAGUUAAUUAUUGUUAUUUACUGAAUGGAAAUAAGGAAUUGGUCUAACGAUUUUCUAACGUUGGCUUGCCUAACAAGUGAAAUGUCAGGCGCCAUCAUGGUCCCGUCGGUGAGAAAUUUCGGAUCGUGACAAUAGAACAAAGACAAUAGCAAAGGAAAUGAUAGAAGGUCUCUACAAAGAACAAUAUGCAAAAUUAGAGGACUAUUGUGCAGAACUCAAGAGAAAGAAUCCAGGAUCAAUUGUAUUGUUAGAAACAACACCUCAUGAAGAGGAUGGCAGACCUGUUUUUGAAAAAAUGUACAUAUGUCUUGAGCCCUGCAGAAGAGGUUGGAUGGAAGGUUGUAGGCCACUCAUUAGGAUAGACGGUUUCUUUCUUUAAGGACCAUAUGGAGGUCAACUUUUGACAGUAAUUGGGAUAGAUGCUGAUAAUGGUAUAUUUCCUAUAGCCUACGCUGUAGUUGAUAUUGAAAAUAAGCAUAACUAGAAGUGAUUUUUAAAUUUGUUGGUGGAUGACUUGCAAAUUAGAAAUCAUGAUAACUUAUGUCUCAUUACAGACAAACAAAAGGUAAGAUUUUUUAUCCACAUAUAAUACCAAAUUCUAAUUGCUUUCAAUUAUCAAAAUUAGCCAUGUUUAUUAUUCUACUCACUUUUGUAGGGUUUGGAGGGAGCUAUUUAUGAGACAGUUCUCCAAGUUGAACAUAGGCUUUGUGUAAGACAUUUGUAUAAUAAUUUCAAGAAAGAGCACAAAGGUUUAUCGUUGAAGAUAAGAGUUUGGAAAGCUGCAAGGGCAACUCAUGUAAGUAAGUAUAGAUAUGAGAUGGAUAUGCUGGAAAAGGAGGACAAAGAAGUUAGAAAUUAGUUCAACGAUAGACCACCCAAAUUCUGGAGCAAGUCACAUUUUAGAACAACAACAAAGUGUGAUAUGCUUUUGAAUAAUCUUUGUGAGGCAUCAAUGGGACAAAACCCAUUUUGAGGGCAAGGGAGAAACCUAUACUUGGACUACUUGAAGGAAUUAGAAUAUACUUGAUGAAGAAACUGAACCAAAAGAGGGAAGACCUGCUCAAAUACCAAGGUAAUAUUGUUAUUGUAACUUCUCUGAAGCACAAAAUAUUUAACAUGAUCCUGACAAUAUUUUACUAUAACAGGAAAUUUAUGCCCUCGAAUCCGAAAACUAGUAAAAAAAGUGAAGGAAGACUCGGCUACAUCAAUUCCUACUUGGGCUGAAAAAUUUUCAUUUCAAGUAAAGACCAUGUAUGGUGAACAAUUUAGUGUUGACUUGAGUGGAAGAAUCUAUUCAUGUAGGGGAUGGGACCUUACAGGAAUCUCAUGCUCACAUGCAAUGAGCUGCAUAUUCCAUAUAAGAGAGAAUCCAAAAAAUUUCAUACAUGAUUGUUACAAGAAGACUGCUCAAAUGAGGAUUUAUGAGCCAGUCAUUGCUCCAAUGGAUGGACCUGAUAUGUGGGAACCUACUGAUCUACUUGAUGUUAACCCUCCUAACUAUGAGCCGAAGACAAGUAAGUUGAACAAAAAUAGAAGAAAAGAGCCCGAUGAAAUUGAAGCCUCCGAGAGAAAAGUAGUUGAGAUGAAAAAACAGAGAAGAGAGAAAAAGAAAAAAUAAUCUACAACAAGUGAAAUGCAUGAUGUUACCAAAUUGAGUAAGAAAGGGAAGUUAGGGAGGUGUAGCAAGUUCUUGCAAACUGGUCACAACAAAAUAACUUGCAACAAGAGUAGCGAUUCCUCGAAUUCAACAACUCUACCUCAAGCUACUCAAACAACUCAAGAUUGGUGCCAAAAUGCUACAAGUCAAUCCCCACCCAAGUAAGCAAAUCAAUUUUGAGUCCACUUAUUGGACUGGACAUAUAAAUGAACCUUCCAAACUCAAUGUAAGUAUGGAACCUUGAAUAUAGGUGAUUUAGUACUUUGAGAGACAGUUAAUAUAUUUGUGUUCUUUAUUUAUUUUCACAGCUAAGAAGGCCAAUGGAGGAUGAUUCAUCUCAUAGACCUGCGCGAGCUCAAGUUGGUGGCAUUGUGUUAAAUGCUGAGAAGUAUAUGUAGAAUGGAAAAAAUUGUAUUAGCUUACAAACCCUUCAAAAUACAAGUGCUAUAGAGAAGUCCAAGAAAAAGAGCUUUGAUGUGGAAGAAAAUAGAAGCAAUUAGCAUAUGAAAUUAUCAGCAAGAACAAAUUUUAAUUUCAUCAAGACUUCUUUUGUUGUUUAAUGGAUAUUUCCCUAUCAUUUAUUCCUAAGAGAUUUUCAAUGUCAAGUUUGUCAUUUACCUUUACAAUUUAAUUUUAGUAUUUUUACUCUUCGAAGCCUUUUAUUUGUAUAUCCUAUUUUGCCCUCAUAAAAAAUUUAUAUAAAUGGUGGUUUUAUUAUUUUGCAAGAGAAUAAAGAGGUUAGGGUUGAAAUCGUAUAAAAAAAUAAGACAGGGUGCAAAUCACAAAAAAGGAUACACAUUAGAGGUGCAAAAUGCGACGGACUCAAAGAAUCUGAGUAUAUAAGUCUUCCGAGGCAUUCCCCUAAAAUAGUAUAAAUAAAGGCGUCUAUAAAUAAAUAAAUAAAUAAAGUCUAGAGAAAGAUUUGUUGUUACCGCUGAGAUGAAUCAACAGAGCCUGCACUCUAAGUCACGAAAAUAUGUCUCUAAUCACGGAUUUUCACCUACAAACGCAACACCUACCGCACGACGUGGUAGGCCCAAACGGGCUAAGUACCACCAAAGGAUAGCUAGAAGUCUCAUUGACUGCCCCCAAAGGUGGAGGGCAAGACUAGCGUGGGCCACAUAAAUAUAAAAAAAAUACAGCAAGUAGAGCAGACAAUUCAUAUAAAAAUAAUUGAAUAAUCUAAAAAGCUAAAACUUGUUUUGAUAACUGAAUUCAGAUUAGUAAAUGAAAGUCGAAGCUAUAAACUAAUUUUGUAUCUAAUAAAUGAAACUAAAACUUAAAACUGAGUCUAAAACUGAUAUCUGAAACUGAAGUUGAAAACUGUGUUACUUUUAAAAAAAUAGUUUUUCUGAAAAUAUUGCACAUAAUGGCGCUAUGUAUAUGAGGAUCUGGGCACCGUAUGGGGACUGUUAAAGCUACUUUGGAGCCUCCGGUCAUGCUUACUGAAACUCAAUCUGUAUGUGGGGCCAUCGAGUGACUCAAUCAAGCUUAACACGUCUGAACGUGCUAGCAUCUACAAGCAUGUGGUAGCUAGCCCUGGCCACCGUGACACUCAUGCUCGUGGAGGGUAUCUACUUUUCUCUUUUUGAAUCUGAAUCUGAAUUUGAAUAUUUUAGGCCCUCGUGGAUAAAGUCUCCACUAUACUAACUCAUACACACUAAGCCCUCGUGGAUAAAGUGAGACUAUAUUAUUUUUUUUCUUCUGAAUCUGAACUGAAAGUUUGAGCAGUACAAGCAAUUUCACGUAAACAAUCAAUCAGAGAACAUCAAGAACCUAUUCAUUUUCUGUUCUAAAUAUGAACUGUAGGUCUGAGCAAUAUAAGUAGCUUCACAUAAUAACAAUUCCACAUAAUCAAAUAAUUACAACAAGGCAUACUAUUUAAGAUUUCUCGUAUUAGAGGUUUUCAUUGUAUAUAUAUAGUAAGGCAAGCAAGCAAGCAAUAUACUAUUCACAUUUUAAUAUAGCCCUUUACUUAGGGAAGAAAGUUCAAAUCACCUCUAAUGGGGUGCUCAAGUUUUUCCUUCCAAGAACUCACGAAUUCGGCUCCUCAAAAUCUACAGUUAAGCAGUUACAAUCAUUAUUUUGUCCUACUAACUCAACACCCAUAAUUCACUCGAGGCUUUAUUGGCCAGCAAUAACUUUUCAUAACUUUCUACCCAUAACUCUUAUAAAUUUCAUAAUCUGUAGUCAUAGUCUGUCAUAAAAUUACUAACUUUAAUACUAAUAGGUAACGAAACGUAUCUUGAAUGAUGCCUCCACAAACCCUGGGUCUUGACGAACGCUUGAUUUUUUGGGUGAAAACCUAGAUUUUAGGAAUUAGAAGGUGUUAAACGAUGUUAAUCUAAAUUUUUUAACUUGAAUCCAUGGUAGAAAUCUUACCUUGGGUGGAUUGGUGAAUCCCUAAUCAAGUCGUUCUUGCUCUCAAAAUCUCUCCAAAAUACAGUAGAAAUAAGUGAACUUCUCUCAUUUUGAAGUGCCUCAACCUGACACGUUAUGCCACACGUCGCAUGGCACCUCGAAAUUUUUUAGAAACUCAAAUUUUCGCCCAUUUGACCCAAAUUUGGCCUGGC